AUGGCUACCUCCAGCAUGGCAUCAGCUGCUUCAGGGUUCUUGCUCACACCCAAUGUCGCAGCGAAUUCAAGCUCCACUUCUAAGACCACCACCGUGUUUUUCCCUUCAAAGAACAACAACAAUUCCAGGCUUGUGGUGACGAGGGCAGCUGACGAGGCUGCUGCACCAGCACCAGCUACCACCACUGCAGCAUCAGAAGGCGGUGAAGCCCCUAAACCUAAGCCACCACCAAUUGGACCAAAAAGAGGAACCAGG
RNAcentral lists this long non-coding RNA (255 nucleotides) under Gossypium barbadense (sea-island cotton). RNAcentral's name for it is "long non-coding RNA (GBAR_LNC023476)". The record is from RNAcentral. Lineage: Eukaryota; Viridiplantae; Streptophyta; Magnoliopsida; Malvales; Malvaceae.